Choloepus didactylus (southern two-toed sloth) is the source of this 532-nucleotide long non-coding RNA. RefSeq lists it as uncharacterized. The transcript is spliced from 4 exons. NCBI's taxonomy places the organism in Eukaryota, Metazoa, Chordata, Mammalia, Pilosa, Megalonychidae. The record is from RefSeq and is a predicted model, not a curated record.
GUGGGGCGUGCUUUCCAGGGCUGGACGUCUACGUGGGCCCAUCUAGGCCGAACUUGUAUGGUACCAGCCAACGCCUGUGUUGCAAUCUUUUCUUCGGAAAACAUCAAUAAAGGGCACAUGUAAAAAAGUUUAAAACCUAGAGACAUAAAAACAACAGAUUUAUACUAUGUGCCUCUAAACUACUUUGGAGUCUAGGUAAAAUUCUCUCCAGACUUAUCAGUGCGCCAGAAAGAAAGGUGGCUUAUAAUGGACCACGUGACCUUCAAUUUUCCCACCGAACGUUUUGCCUCUCCUGUAAUCCGGGAUUCAGGCGCUGUGAGAUGACGCCAUCGUCUCCGUGCCAACUGAUUCUUGGCUGAGAGGCUGAGCUCCUGAGCAGAAAGGAUAAACACCAAGAAUUAGUAUUGCUGGGCCAAAUAAAUACCUUGUGAUUCCUGUUGGAGGAAUAAUUGGGAUAUAAGCAGCUUGAAAAUGAAAAACAGAGAAGCCCUCAUUUCCUGACUACAUGUCAACUGUUCCAAAUGUCUUAAAG